RNAcentral lists this ribosomal RNA (406 nucleotides) under uncultured bacterium. RNAcentral's name for it is "partial 16S ribosomal RNA". It matches the Rfam family "Bacterial small subunit ribosomal RNA", at positions 30 to 526 of the family's 1533-position model. The record is from RNAcentral.
AUUGAACGCUGGCGGCAGGCCUAACACAUGCAAGUCGAGCGAGCGGCGGACGGGUGAGUAAUGUCUGGGAAACUGCCUGAUGGAGGGGGAUAACUACUGGAAACGGUAGCUAAUACCGCAUACCAUCAGAUGUGCCCAGAUGGGAUUAGCUAGUAGGUGGGGUAACGGCUCACCUAGGCGACGAUCCCUAGCUGGUCUGAGAGGAUGACCAGCCAAACUGGAAUUGAGACACGGUCAAGACUCCUCCGGGAGGCAGCGGUGGGGAUUAUUGCAAAAUGGGGGCAAGCCUGAUGCAGCCAGGCCGCGUGUGUGAAGAAGGCCUUCGGGUUGUAAAGCACUUUCAGCGGGGAGUCGUUACCCGCAGAAGAAGCACCGGCUAACUCCGUGCCAGCCGCCGCGGUAAUUC